CUUGAAGAUAAGGAGUUACUUUCUCUAUAACUCAAAGAAUUUGGCGGUUAGUUAAGUUUUUAGAGGAACUUGUACUUUAAUUGAUACACCACGAUAGUUUACACCUUAAUUUUAUUUGUAUAUCUCUAUGAUUGAAAUGUUUUUAAAAAAUAUUUUUUUUUUGUUAUUUCUUUAAUAUUAGGUCAAGGUGCAGUUUUAUUAUGGUAGUUAUGAGUUACUUUAGUUUUAUAUUUAAUUUUUUGUAAAUUAUUUUAAUUUUUUAGUUUCGGAUUUAAAAGUAAUUUGAAUUAAUUUUUUCUUUUGAAUUAUU
Molecule: ribosomal RNA, 310 nt
Filed under: Darnis partita
Lineage: Eukaryota; Metazoa; Arthropoda; Insecta; Hemiptera; Membracidae
Description: partial 12S small subunit ribosomal RNA
Source: RNAcentral